AUGUUUUCUUAUCUAAUAAACUGGAGUUAGCCUUUAUAUAGCCAACUUUAAUUUCUCCAAUUUCUCCUGGUUUGCUAAUAGAGGUACUUUUAGAUGGCUGGCCAAUAGUAACCGUAGAUAUUCCAUCGCUGCAGAACAGCUGAAUAGCAGUAAUUUGUUUAAGUGGUCCGACAUGUUUCUGCUCCUUGAAUGCAUGCGGGAGAGGUAGUGUACCAUUAUUUAAAAUUUCAAAGCCUUGUUUGCUAUUAUUUUCAUGUGUGCUGUACCCAAUUCUUUCUAUAUGAGUCCCAUUUGGACAAAGAAAUGCAGCAGAAAAGCCAGGAAAAUUAAGUCCAAAAGACGGGGGAUUUGUCAUAUCACAUGUAGAAACAAUUUUAUUUAGGUGUAUUUGUGGGAUUCCAGUUUGAAUAAAUCCUUUAUAAGGUAAGACAGCAAGUGGAGGAGGCUUUUCAAAGUAGGAUCCGAAGGAAACAAUACUGAAUUCAUUGUUUUUAAGAAUUCCGCCCCCAAGAUUGAGUAAGCCAAUACAAACUCCUGUCCAACGGCCACCUCUCCAUAUUCUUGAUUUGUGAUUGCUAGCUUUUGAUCUCGUUUUUAAAGAGUUCAAAGCCUCAAUAGCUGAGCUAUACGAUUUAACACCUUCAAUUUCUAAUUGUAUCUUUGAAAGGGGUCGGGAUUCAUGGACAAGUUUGAAGAGAACUGGAUCUCCAGGUAGGGUUCGUAAAAGCUCCUCCGUAACUUUGAUAGAACUUUCUUUUGUUAGUUCUCGUUUAACAGCACUGAUUUCAUCACUAGUUAGUUCCUUGUAACCCAAUAAAACUUCAUGAAUUUCCAGAUUACUUUUUGAAUGAGUUGGAGUAGCGUCUGACCCAACCUUAAAAACCGAUUUUCCAUCACUACAAAAGAAUCUCAUUGCUCCUAUAGAGCCAAGUGGCCCUUUAUUAGAGUUAUUAUUAAAUAUUUGAUCCGGUUUCAUAAGAGAUUCUGUUCCUCUAAUUAUUUGCCAUGCGACCUCCACUCUAUUUAUUACACUUUUUUCAGGACAUCUGAAGUUGAUAGACCUUAGAAGAGUUCGUUUGCUUCUUGAACGUAACUCUCCAGUCAUAAUAAUUUCUUCUGUUUGUUUGCUGAAGAGUAAUUGAGCACGGGGUGAAUGAAGCAUACCUGGACAAGUAAAUUCUUUUGAGUCAACAUCCAGUUCUCCAUUUCCUUCAGCAGAAAAUCCAUAGUAAUCACUAAUUUCCUCCCUUGAUGUCGGCUGAAAAGGAAAUACAAAUCCAAAUCCAAUAUUGUUAAUCAUGCCUCCGCUUGUAAUGUCUGCGCAGACUUUUGUCAAUACUCCGUUGUUCCAAAUCUUUUUACUUUGGUAGUUUGGAGGGAAUUUUUCUGAGACAAAAUUGAACUUGUUUUCCUUUGAUUCUUGGGGUUUCGAAGAAGCGUUAUUUUUUUGUAUAACAUGAAACAUUGAAAUAGGAAGGUUUGACUCUGGUAUAAAUAUUGAGUUUGAUGAGAAGCUCUUAGAUGGCGAAACUAGUAUGGAGUUGACUUCAUCAUAAGAAAUAGUAUCUUUUUGUACAAUGGUAUUAAUAAUAUCAAAGUUAUUUUCUUUAUGCAAAGAUUUCAUUUUGUUCUCAAAUAUUUUGGAUUCACCAAUUAUAAAGUAGUUUUCAGGAUUAUUUCCACAAUCAAAUUUUAUAGAAACUAGCCUUCCUGAGGUUUUGUUGACUAAUAACUGAAUAUUUUCUACUGCU
Molecule: non-coding RNA, 1751 nt
Filed under: Cryptosporidium parvum
Lineage: Eukaryota; Apicomplexa; Conoidasida; Eucoccidiorida; Cryptosporidiidae
Source: RNAcentral